RNAcentral lists this transfer RNA (65 nucleotides) under Helicana wuana. Its description in RNAcentral is "tRNA-Phe". Lineage: Eukaryota; Metazoa; Arthropoda; Malacostraca; Decapoda; Varunidae. The record is from RNAcentral.
GGUUUAUAUAAUUUAUAAAGAAUAUUGCAUUGAAGCUGCAGAAGAGAUAAAUGUUAUCUGUAAAU